RNAcentral lists this non-coding RNA (115 nucleotides) under Agrobacterium albertimagni. RNAcentral describes it as "TPP sequence". It matches the Rfam family "TPP riboswitch aptamer (THI element)". Rfam says of the family: Vitamin B(1) in its active form thiamin pyrophosphate (TPP) is an essential coenzyme that is synthesised by coupling of pyrimidine and thiazole moieties in bacteria. The previously detected thiamin-regulatory element, thi box was extended, resulting in a new, highly conserved RNA secondary structure, the THI element, which is widely distributed in eubacteria and also occurs in some archaea. The record is from RNAcentral. Lineage: Bacteria; Pseudomonadati; Pseudomonadota; Alphaproteobacteria; Hyphomicrobiales; Rhizobiaceae. RNAcentral also lists the same sequence under 1 other name.
AGUGCUCUAACGGGGUGCCUUUCGAUCCUUCGGGACCGAAAUGCUGAGAGGCGUCAGCCAACCCGCGGAACCUGAUCCGGUUAACACCGGCGGAGGGAUUAGACGCGUCGAUCGC